This 29-nucleotide non-coding RNA is filed under the name Homo sapiens (human). The record is from RNAcentral. Lineage: Eukaryota; Metazoa; Chordata; Mammalia; Primates; Hominidae.
UGGAGCCUUUCCACACAGAUCAUGAUGAG